CCUGAUGACCAUAGUAAAUCGGUACCACCCCUUCCCAUCCCGAACAGGACCGUGAAACGAUUUUACGCCGAUGAUAGUGCUGCAACC
This 87-nucleotide ribosomal RNA is filed under the name Massilia rubra. Lineage: Bacteria; Pseudomonadati; Pseudomonadota; Betaproteobacteria; Burkholderiales; Oxalobacteraceae. The record is from RNAcentral. RNAcentral also lists the same sequence under 1 other name.